UACGAAGGGGGCUAGCGUUGCUCGGAAUCACUGGGCGUAAAGGGCGCGUAGGCGGCCGAUUAAGUCGGGGGUGAAAGCCUGUGGCUCAACCACAGAAUUGCCCUCGAUACUGGUUGGCUUGAGACCGGAAGAGGACAGCGGAACUGCGAGUGUAGAGGUGAAAUUCGUAGAUAUUCGCAAGAACACCAGUGGCGAAGGCGGCUGUCUGGUCCGGUUCGUGACGCUGAGGCGCGAAAGCGUGGGGAGCAAACAGG
This 254-nucleotide ribosomal RNA is filed under the name uncultured bacterium. RNAcentral's name for it is "partial 16S ribosomal RNA". It matches the Rfam family "Bacterial small subunit ribosomal RNA", at positions 524 to 776 of the family's 1533-position model. The record is from RNAcentral.